This 94-nucleotide signal recognition particle RNA is filed under the name Verrucomicrobiota bacterium. RNAcentral describes it as "Verrucomicrobia bacterium (hydrothermal vent metagenome) signal recognition particle sRNA small type". It matches the Rfam family "Bacterial small signal recognition particle RNA". From Rfam's summary of the family: The signal recognition particle (SRP) is a universally conserved ribonucleoprotein involved in the co-translational targeting of proteins to membranes. Archaeal SRP consists of a 7S RNA and homologues of the eukaryotic SRP19 and SRP54 proteins. The record is from RNAcentral. RNAcentral also lists the same sequence under 1 other name. Lineage: Bacteria; Pseudomonadati; Verrucomicrobiota.
GUUCAGAGACUAUGGACUAUCGACUAACGAAUCCGCCAGGGCCUGACGGCAGCAACGGCAGUUUGUUCGAGAGUGCCGUAGUUCUCUGACAGCC